CAGCUCUCCCCAUGGGGCUGGAGGAGCCCUGGGUGAUGUCGCCUCUCCCACAUGAGAUGGACAGGGUACGGCAGGAGUGAGAGUGGGCAGCUCCUCUCCCACAGGGAGGGCAGGUACAUAGCAUUUUUUCUAUCUGUGGCAUCAACCUCCCUGUUUCGAGGAGUUAUUUUUUCAAAGCCUCUUCUUAUAUAUUUAUAUUUUAGGUGCUAUGUCCAGCAAGAACUCAGCAUGGUGUGACGUUGCAAAUGAAUCUGAUUUUUAUUCUUGUUCCUGGGAAGCAAGCUUUUCACAUAGCCAUUGUAGCUGCAAAGAUUUAACUGGCUCGGACAGUGAAAGUGAUCGUCAUUCUUACAUUGAUACAAAUGAUCAGUACCAUUCCCUGGGAGAAGAGAGGGAAAGAAGCCAAACCACCAAUGACUUGACAGAAGCUUUUCUGGUCUCAGGAAACAAUCAAACCAACAAAAAAAAUAACGGCAGGGACUAUCUUUUACUACAAGGGAAAAAAUCACAAUAUUCUAGGAGUAGCCAAAAAGAAAAGGCACCAAAAUCCAUACCACCUUCUACAUUUAACAGAAGUCAAACAAUUGAUCACCCAUCUGCAAGUUGUUCAGCACGAGUGCUUCAGUCAAGGUCUGCAUUAUCAUCUCGAAAGGAUUUACUUUCCCAAAGUGACCGCCCCCAGCUCUUCAUUACUGAGCAACCAAUACAGGAGCCAGCCGUUUUCACAAUUAAGAAAGCCUACAUAGUUAAUAAGCUACAUCAAAAGCACCCGCCAGCUGAUUCUCCUCCAACUUCGAAGUGCAAUAAAGCUGUGCAGGCUUCUUUCACUUGUAGAGGGGAAGACCCUGGUGAAUGUAUUGUUUGUGAAUGUUCAAAACGGUCACUAUUAAAGGAACAGAGAAACAGAAAACUGGACAAGAAGAAAGCUGCUGUGUUUCAUAACACUGAAAGUAUUGCCAAUCAAGAUUUAUCUUCUGGUGAACUGGUGAAUGGACAUUUACAUUGUCCUUUGGAAGCAGUGACUGAUAUACCUGUCAAACCACAGACCUCCAAGCAUUGGUGUUUGCCCAUUAGUUCAUCAACUCUUGUUAUAUCUCUAGCAUUGGAAGCAGGUUAUUCAGUUCCAUCUGUUUCAUUAGCAGGAGCUGAAACAAAAUAUAGUAGUUCUUCAAAGGUUAGGAAAGUCAGAGGCGAUGCAAGUAGACCUGCCUUAGCUUUCAAACUUAGAGAGCCUGAGCUUAACCAAUAUUUUAACAAGUUGCGUAUUUCUAUAGUUCCAAAUCCUGUGCACUUAGAUACUGACACUCGAAAGCAAGCUAUUCCGUUUACUGGGCAGGUAGGACUCCAACAAGUCCCAGGUCCUGAAGCCAAUCAGCCUCUGGAAACGCAGACCGAUUCAUCUGAUUCUGACAUUCCCGGAGCUCAGAUAGAACAAGCAUCUUCUAUAUUUAAACCCCCGUCUGCCAAGCAGUUCUUUGUGUCCUCUGAAGAUACACAGGAUACAGUUUGGCCUUCUACCUCUUAUAGUGUUAAAAAAAUUCCCUACAGAAAAGGGAUAUCCAUUAAAGAGCCCUUUGAAGAGCAGAAACAUCAAUUAAAAGUCUGCAGGUCCAUAAGACAUCCUAUCGUGUCUACCAAACCCAAAGAAGCUCAAAGAGAUCAAAGAUUUAUAAACAAACCCUACAUCUCUUCCAACCUUGACAACACAAAGACUUUGGAUAUUGAACCUUUUAAGCAAAAAUGUGGUCACUACAAAACUGUGAAAGAAACAGAAAUAGGUAAAUUGAAUUACGUGCCUUUAUCAGAAACUGUUAAGUGUCAUUGUGGUCCUUUAUCUAACUUGAGUGUCAACCUGUAUCCAAAGCGGAGAUAUUCUGGCAUUGAGAAAUCCCUAAGCAUUAACAGAAAACCAUCCAAAAGAGGUGGUGUAACACGUAGAAUUUCUGCACAGUCUCUGCUAAGUGAUAGAGACAGUACUGAGGAGACCCAAUACAUCUCUCCUUCCAAAAGAAAAAAGGAUUUGAAGAUGCAGAGCAUUCUGAACUUUUGUUUUGGGUGGCCGGGGGCACAAAAGAAACAUGAGAGGUCACCAUGUAAAGGAGAGAUCUCUUCCACUGCAUAUGAUCCAGAAACAAAAGAGGAAGGUCUUUUGAGCCCACCUUUACCAGCUGAGAGGAGAAGUCUGACUGCCCCAUUUCUCCAAGAUGAAAGAGAGAGUCAGAGUCUUGCAGAUGGGACAUUUCAUCCUGAAGACAAUUUGAACACCUUGGAUUCUCCUUAUACUGGGAAUAUCAGUAAUUUAGUACAGCCACCAGAGCAGAGGAGUAUGUUUCAGGCCACUAAUAAUGUACCGUUGGAGAAAUUGGACUCUGAGUCUGCCCCAGUUCCUUCUGGAGACUCCAUCCUGAAGAAGCUCAUGUUUUGCAGAUGUGGACAGAUGCCACAACAUGGACUCUUCCCUACUGGAGAUAUUUUCCAGUCAGUUACUAAGAAAACCAUAAGCCAUCCUGCUACUGGUAUGGGACCCUGCAAACCUGAGCUAGCAAGGGAGUGCUGCCAUAGAGAAAUACCAGAUAACAUGAAUGAAACAUACUGGUACAGUAACCAAUCUGUAUUUCCAACUCAUUCAUCUUUGGAAAACAUACGCAAGCAAGAAGCCACAAGGGGGCAGUUCACUAACACACAGUCUUACUUUGAGAACAGUGUUCCAGCAAAGACGGUGACAAAUGAACUCCUAAAAGAAGGGAAGCGAAUGGAAAUGGGUGAAAGCGGGAAUAUCAGAAGCAAUAUGGAAGUUGACGCCAUGCAUCAAAUUUGUGCACAUGGCAUGUAUGCUGCAACACCUUCUGAGCAUGGUGGGAGAGAGAAAACACUGCCAGAGUAUUCCAUAUAUCACCCCAACUAUUGCCCAUCCUGCCAGCCUGCUGCUACCCAAAAACUAGGCACAUCAAAUGACUAUUAUAACUGCUUCAAGUCAAAGCAGAAAGAACCCAAGAGUUCCUUGAGCAUAGAGAGAGGGUUUACAGUUGAUCCUUGCCUGGGGAAUAGGAGCCAAUGCAAAUGUUCUCAAGAAAUCCCCCUUCCCUACCUGGAACAAAGUAUCCCGUAUGAGGAAAAUAGAGCUACGCUUCCAAAGAGAAAUGACCCAGACCUAAUUCAGGUUUGUACCAACUCAAAAUAGUUAUGCAAACAUUCAGUUG
Molecule: long non-coding RNA, 3200 nt
Organism: Chrysemys picta bellii (western painted turtle)
Lineage: Eukaryota; Metazoa; Chordata; Testudines; Emydidae
Source: Ensembl